GUCCACGCCGUAAACGAUGAUAACUAGUUGUCCGUGCACUUGGUGCUUGGGUGACGCAGCUAACGCAUUAAGUUAUCCGCCUGGGGAGUACGGUCGCAAGAUUAAAACUCAAAGGAAUUGACGGGGGCCUGCACAAGCGGUGGAGCAUGUGGUUUAAUUCUAAGCAACGCGCAGAACCUUACCAGCCUUUGACAUCCCGCGCUAUCCUGAGAGAUCAGGGGUUCCCUUCGGGACGCGGUGACAGGUGCUGCAUGGCUGUCGU
Molecule: ribosomal RNA, 262 nt
Filed under: uncultured bacterium
Lineage: Bacteria
Description: partial 16S ribosomal RNA
Rfam family: Bacterial small subunit ribosomal RNA
Source: RNAcentral